CAUGCCUUCUUUUUCAACUUUUUUGCCUUCUUCAAAUCAUCCUUUGUGUAAGGCCCCUGAAAAGGAGUGCUCAGAUGUUAUCAGCCCAUAGAGUCGAGUCUACUUAUGUGGAUCAGAUCCUUUUUACUGUUUUGAACUUUAAUAUGUAAAAUCAAAUAUUUUCAAAAAAAUGGUCGAAAUGCGGUCAAGAAUGCGUUCGCAGAUCAGAUAUGCAGACCGCAUUCCAAUCGCAUAGUGAAUCAGAGAGCAACCAAUUUUUGAUCUUGAAAAUGCGGUCAAAUCUGCGAUCGCAUAAUCAAUAUGCGGACCACAGAGUAAUCGCAUAUUGUCCCUGAGGAUUGAAGGUCAGUUUCUGCGGUGCAUUCUGCGACCGCAAAACUCAAAUGCGGAUCGCAUAUUCACCGCAUUCCCAACCCGAGAGGUUUGAAAUUUGAGCCAUUUCUGCAGUUCAUUCUGCGGACCGCAUGUAUGUUCUGCGAUCGAAGAGUUGCGUCGCAGAUUAAUCUUGCCCAGUUAUUUUUCUAAAAAUCUAAGCCCGACCCCACUUUAAUAAAAAUACUCCAUCCCUCAUUUUAACCCAUUUUCUGAACAAUAUAAGAGAGAGGAAGAGAGGGUCCUAGAGAGAGAAAGCAAAUUCUUCAUCAAUUGAUCUUUCAAAACCANNNNNNNNNNNNNNNNNNNNNNNNNNNNNNNNNNNNNNNNNNNNNNNNNNNNNNNNNNNNNNNNNNNNNNNNNNNNNNNNNNNNNNNNNNNNNNNNNNNNNNNNNNNNNNNNNNNNNNNNNNNNNNNNNNNNNNNNNNNNNNNNNNNNNNNNNNNNNNNNNNNNNNNCAUUUGUUGAACAAAAUAACAGAGGGGAAGAGAGGUUCCUAGAGAUAGGAAGUAAAUUCUUCAUCAAUUGGUCUUUCAAAAUCAUUGGAGCUUGGAAAAUUCUUGGUGCAUUGUCUUCUCUAUUGACUUCUCAGGUAAAAUCCCUAACCCAUUUUCCCCAAAUUUUGAAAUUAAGCUUGGGAAGGGAACCCCAUACACUUUCUUUGAAUUUUCUUCAUAAAAUCUCAUGCAUGGCUUCAAAACUCAAAAAUCUUGUAAAAAGGGAAUUGGGUAGUGACUAUGAGUUUAAAUUUCUAAAACCUAAGUGUUGUUCAUGAGCUAGAUUGACUUCUUGAUUGCUUGGAAAAUCGGACUAGAGGUUUAAAAGUGAAUAAUCAACUCCAAGUAUGUAUGGCUAACUGUGAUCCUUGUGAAAUCGCCCUAUGCUAGUUGUGAAAUUGUUGAUAGAUGAUAUUCAUGUGAGAAUCAUUGUGAAGCUUUUGUGUGGUAUAAUUGUGUGGUAUCACUAUGUUUUGAAUGUUGUGGAACUUUUAAUUGGAACAAUGGAAAUGGAACAAUGUGGAACAAUGGAAAUGGGAAUAAUGUUGAAUAGUGGAAAUGGAAAUAUUGUGGAACAACGUGUAUGAUUAGUUGUGAAUAACUGUUUUGAUGAUCUAAAUUGUGUACCAAUUUGAUGAGUAUGGGGAAAUUGUUUUUGCUAGUUGUGGAAUUGCAUUACCCUUGUUGUGGAUCCAUGUUAACAAUGUGUCAUAGUUGAUUUCUUGUAUUUGUUGAUGUGCUGUUUGUUGUUGUGAAUUGAAAACUGUCAGGCNNNNNNNNNNNNNNNNNNNNNNNNNNNNNNNNNNNNNNNNNNNNNNNNNNNNNNNNNNNNNNNNNNNNNNNNNNNNNNNNNNNNNNNNNNNNNNNNNNNNNNNNNNNNNNNNNNNNNNNNNNNNNNNNNNNNGGCCGAGGUAAUAAGGGUGGACGAGGCAAUAAGGGUGGAAAGUGUGAUCCAAUAUCACUACUGAUAUGAAUAUGAAUCAUGAAAUGAUAAACGUGGAAAUGUGAAAGGAGACAGCAUGAGAGUUUGUAACUUGUGGGGCACUGAUUGCUCCUUUGUAUGACUACUUGAAUCAAUUUUUGUGAGAUGUUUGGUUGUUGCUCCAUGGUUGUAAUUGUACUAUUGUUGUUCAGUUCUAUGUUUGUAUAUGUAUUUUGGCUUGAGUUCACUUGGGACAGAGUUUGUUCAUGCAUGCCAGUACAAUUCAAAUGUACUGACGUCCCUUUUGCCGGGGGCGCUACAUUCGUGUUAUUAUUGUAGGUGGAUCUGUGGUAGGCACUCCAGUCCACCGUUCGUAGCUCCUCCUUCUCUCUAGCAGCGAUAUUCGUGUUGGUGAGCCCUUUUUCUUCUGGGGCUUUGUGUUGCCCAUGCCACCUAUGUUGUUGUAUUUUGGAAGUUCUUGUGUAUUUUUUUCUAAAGGUAUAGCCGGGGCCUUGUCGCCGGCAAGUGUUGUACUAUCUCUCUUUUAGAGGCUCCGUAGACAGUGGUAUGUGGGUUAGAACUUAUGUCUGAAGGUGUAUGUAUUGGGCGCAGUAAACUUGUAUAUCACGUUCCCUGUUAAUCAUAAUGCAUGUUUUGUAAAAGAUGUUCCCUGUUAAUCAUAAUGUGUGUUAAUAAAAGAGAAAUCAUAUGUUCUUUCAGUUGCAAAGAGGGUAUAUUUUGGCUAAUUAUCAUUGAAUGAAGUGGGGUAACACGUGGGAAAUAUAAAUCAUAUGUUCUUAGUUGCAAAUAGAAUAUCUUUUGGCUAAUUAUCAUUGAAUGAUGUGGGGUAAUGCGUGGGGAAUACGAAAGGCACCCAGGUCCACUCGACUGGGGAUACCCGGUUGAGUUCCGGUCAUGCCCCCUGAUUUGGGGCGUGACAAACAUGGUAUCAGAGCCUAAGGUUUUAAAGGAGUCCUAGGAUGUCUCGGAGCCGUGCCUAGUAGAGCUAGGGCAUGACAAACAUGGUAUCAGAGCCUAAGGUUUUAAAGAUGAGUCCUAGGAUGUCUCGGAACCGUGCCUAGUAGAGCCUUUCUUAUCAGUGUGUUGUCGACCACAUCUAUAAGUUGGGGGCUACACGGGCAUUUAGGAAAAAUGAUCUUCUUCUUUGUUAUUCCAACAUCGUGCGAUGAAGUGAUGUUGUAUCUAAUUCAUGCUUUAUUUCAAAAUUUCAGUGAUGGCACCCAAGAAGAAUACUAGACUUGGCCUAGGGGCCAAUGCCACUUCCAGUGCGGCUGUUGGUCAUGUGCCGACUGCCGUGGGUGAGAGUGAUUCCCUCGUUCUGAAUUUGCCUGCUCCAUCCGUUCCUGAUACAAGCAAUCAUGUUCUAGUAGCGGCCGAGGGUGCUACUAUCCCUCCUGCCAAUGCUCCUAAUCCUGAUGUAUCUCUAGUUUCUGAUUUCGGGAUUUCUGAUGGAGAUCUUAGGGGAGAUAUCCGUAUGUUGACUCAGUUAGGGGCCGCCCAGGCUUAGAGAUCUCAUGAUGCCCCUGUGUCCUCUAGCGGACAGGGAGAUUCCUCCAGCUCCAGAGUUCAUCCGUUUUUGCGAUUGAAUCCUCUAGAGUUCUCAGGCACAGAUCUAGAAGCCGAUCCGCAAAAAUUCCUUGAUGAGAUGUACAAGACCCUUCGAGUGAUGAAGGCUACAGAAAUAGAGAGGGUAGAAUUGGCUUCAUACAAGUUAAAGGGGCUGCGCAUUCGUGGUUCGAGAUGUGGGAGGAAAUAACUCAUGGGAUGCCUUCAUGGACGACUUCUUUCCUGCCGAGACCAUGGCAGCCCGUGCCAUCGAGAUUGAGGUUCUUAAGCAGGGUAGUAUGAGUGUUUGGGAGUAUCAUAUGGAGUUCGUGAGGUUGUCUAAGUAUACUCCUCAGUUGGUGUCGACUAUGUAGGCCAGAGUUCGGCGGUCCGUUCAGGGACUCAACCCUUUAGUGGUAAAUGAGGCUGCUACAACGGCUUUGCAUUCAGACAUGAACUAUGGAAAGAUCGUGGGUUUUGCUCAGGCCAUAUAGGCCAGGAAGUUGAAGAUUUGAUCAGACAGAGAGAGUAGCAACAGGGCCCGGUCUAUGGGUCACUCAGGGUGGUCAGCUCCAGGGAGAGGGUAAUCAGGACCAUCUCAGUCUUAUGCUGAGUCCUCAGCUAGCGCACCACCAUCUGUGCAUCGUUUCCAGCAGAGUAGCCCUUUGGGGCCAGGUUCAGACAGCAGGAGGUCCUGCCAGUUCAGUCAUUCGGGGAUGAGACCUCGACAACAAGGAGGAAUAUGUCCCAAGUGUAGGAGAUUUCAUACAGAGGCUUGUUACUUGGAUGCUCUAGUGUGUUGCAAUUGUGAGGUGAGAGAUCACAUACAGUGGGACUGCCGUGCGCCCAGACAGGGCACGGGCAGGGGACUUUCUCAGCCAUCUAGUUCAUUAGGUUCUACGUCAUCAGUGUGCCCUCCAACCCUAGCAAGGCGUGGUGCAGCCAGAGGUGGAGCUCGUGGUAGGGGCGGACCCAGCAGGUUUUAUGCAUUGAGUGGCCGUCGGAGUGUUGAGGCUUCCCCAGAUGUUGUCACAGGUAUCAUAUCUAUUCAGACCUUCGAUUGCUGUGCUCUUAUUGAUCCGGGGUCUUCUUUGUCCUAUGUCACUCCAUUUGUUGCUUCGAGUUUUGGGAUUGAACCCGAACAACUUCUUGAGCCGUUCUCUGUAUCGACUCCAGUUGGUGAUCCUAUUACAGCCGCGCGGGUCCAUAGGAAUUUUGUUGAUAUGGUAGGUGGUCGUGUUGCCACGGCUGGUCUUAUCGAGCUUGGGAUGGUGGAUUUUGAUGUAAUCAUGGGGAUGGAUUGGCUCUAUUCGUGCUUUACUAAACUUGAUUGGCGGACGAGAGCCAUGAGGCUCGACUUCCUUAAUGAGCCGGUUGUUGAGUGGAAGGGAAAUGGUACUGUGCUGAAGGGUAGGUUUUUUUUUCUACCUCAAGGCUUCGAAGAUGAUCAGAAAGGGGUGCAUUUAUCAUUUAGUCUGGGUGGCGGAUACUACUCCAAAAGUUCCUGCCCCCGAGUCUGUGCCAGUUAUGAAUGAGUUUCUUGAGGUAUUUCCAGAUGAGCUUCCAGGAAUUCCACAAGAUAUAGAGAUCAUUAUUUUGGGAUUGAUGUGUUGCCAGAUACCCAGCCAAUAUCCAUUCCACUGUACAUAAUGGUGCCAGCAUUGUUGCGGGAGUUAAAAGAGCAGCUGAAGGCAGAUAGGGAGAUUGAUUUCGGGAUUGAUGUAUUGCCGGAUACCCAGCCAAUAUCUAUUCCGCCGUACAGAAUGUCGCCAACAGAGUUGCGAGAGUUGAAAGAGCAGUUGAGGGAUCUAUAGGACAAGGGGUUUAUCCGCCCAAGUUUGUCGCCAUGGGGUGCUCCGGUUCUUUUUGUCAGAAAGAAGGAUGGGUCACUUCGGAUGUGUAUCGAAUAUCGGCAGCUUAAUAAAGUCACAAUAAAAAAUAAUACCGUUUACCUCGGAUAGAUGAUUUGUUCGAUCAAUUGCAAGGUGCAAGGUUCUUCUCCAAAAUUAACUUGCGGUCCGCGUACCACCAAUUGAAGAUCAUGGAGCAGGAUAUUCCUAAGACCGCUUUCAGAACACGUUAUGGCCACUUUGAAUUCUUGGUCAUGUCUUUUGGGAUAACUAAUGCCCAGGCAACUUUUAUGGAUCUUAUGAAUCGGGUCUUCAAGUCAUUUUUAGACUCAUUCGUGAUUGUUUUAAUUAACUACAUCCUCGUAUAUUCGCGGAGCAAACCAACGCCCCGACAGCUUUUAUGGAUCUUAUGAAUCGGGAAUUCAAGUCAUUUUUAGACUCCUUCGUGAUUGUUUUCAUUGACGACAUUCGCAUAUAUUCGCGGAGCAGGUAGAAUCAUGCCAGCCACCUUAGCGCGGUUUCGCAGACUCUGCAUCAGCACCAAUUGUAUGCCAAGUUUUCCAAAUGUGAAUUUUGGUUGGAGUCCGUCGCUUUACUGGUCAUGUUGUUUCCAGUGAGGGGAUUGAGAAUCCCCCAAAAGAUUGCAGCAGUGAAGGAUUGGCCUAGGCCCACGAACCCGACGGAGAUCCGUAUCUUCUUGGGGUUAGCAUGGUAUUAUCGGAGGUUUGUAGAGGGAUUCUCCACCUUCGCCUCUCCUUUGACUAAAUUGACGCAUAAAUCAGCUAAAUUCCAGUGGUCAGAUGCUUAUGAGAAAAGUUUUCAAGAAUUGAAGACAAGGUUGACUUCGGUACCAGUAUUGGCCUUGCUAGAGGGCACAGAGGGGUUUAUGGUUUAUUGUGAUGCCUCCAGGGUUGGUUUAGGGCGUGUUCUGAUGCAGCACAGGAAGGUUAUAGCAUAUGCUUCCAGGCAACUCAUGAAUCAUGAGAAGAAUUAUCCGACGCAUGAUUUGGAGCUUGCAGCAGUUGUGUUCGCCUAGAAAAUAUGGCGACAUUAUCUUUAUGGGGUUCGUGUAGAUGUGUUUUCAUAUCAUAUGAGUCUUCAAUAUUUAUUCCAGCAGAAGGAUCUAAAUUUGAGGCAGAGGCGGUGGUUAGAAUUUCUUAAGGAUUAUGAUAUGUACAUCUUGUACCAUCCAUGGAAGGUGAACGUGGUGGCUGAUGCCCUCAGUCGGAAAUCCAUGGGUAGCUUGGCUCACUUGAGAGCGGAUCAAAGGUUCCUUGCUCGGGAGGUGUAUCAGUUGGCCGGCCUUGGGGUUUGUAUCUCGGCCCCGAAUGAGGAGGAACUCAUGGUGCAUAAUACAGCAGAAUUGUCGCUCGUGGCAGAGGUUAAAGAAAAGCAGUUUGUUGAUCCAACAUUGGCACAAUUGAAGGGACCAGCUCUAAGUAACAAAAUUUCAGCAUUCUCGCUCGGUAUCAGCGAUGAUGUACUACGGUGCCAUGGCAGGUUGGUUGUCUCAGAUGUGGAUAAUUUUCGGGAGAGGGUAAUGGCGGAGGCUCAUCAUUCUAGAUAUUCAGUGCACCCAGGAUCUACAAAGAUGUAUCACGAUCUCAAGGAUAUCUAUUAGUGGAGUUAUAUGAAGAAGAGUGUAGCAGACUUUGUCUCUAAGUUUCUGAAUUACCAGUAAGUGAAUGCCGAGCAUCAGCGGCCGGGAGAGUUGACUCAGCUUAUAGAAAUACCAAUGUGGAAGUGGGAAAUGAUUAAUAUGGACUUCGUGACAGGACUAUCUCGUACUCAGCACAAGUUCGACUCAAUCUGGGUAGUUGUGGAUAGGCUCACCAAAUCAGCUCACUUUUUUGCCAGUCAAGUCCACCGAUACUGCGGAACAAUAUGCUCGGUUGUAUAUCAAGAAGAUAGUGAGGCUUCAUGGUACUCCACUUUCUAUUAUUUCGGAUUGAAGAGCUCAGUUUACAGCUAAGUUCUGGAGGAAAUUUCAGCAGGGUUUGGGUACUCAAGUGAAUCUCAGCACAACUUUUCAUCCGCAGACCGAUGGCCAAGCAGAGUGGACUAUUUAGACGCUCGAGGAUAUGUUGCGGGCAUGUGUCUUGGAUUUCAAAGGUAAUUGGGAUGAUCACUUGCCCCUUAUAUAGUUUGCUUAUAAUUAUAUCUUCCAUGCUAGCAUCCAAAUGGCCCCAUUCGAAGCAUUGUACGGAAGAAGGUGUAGGUCCCCGAUCGGGAGGUUCGAGGUUGGUGAAGCGGAAUUAUUAGGGCCAUAUCUCAUGCACCGAGCCAUGGAGAAGGAAAGAGUCAUUCAGGAGAGAAUGAAGACUGCUCAAAGUCGCCAGAAACCCUAUGUGGACGCGCAUCGAAGAGAAUUGACGUUUCAAGAAGAAGAUUGGGUAUUCUUGAGGGUGUCCCCUAUGAAGGGAGUCAUGCGCUUUGGGGAGUGGACUAUUUAGACGCUCGAGGAUAUGUUGCGGGCAUGUGUCUUGGAUUUCAAAGGUAAUUGGGAUGAUCACUUGCCCCUUAUAUAGUUUGCUUAUAAUUAUAUCUUCCAUGCUAGCAUCCAAAUGGCCCCAUUCGAAGCAUUGUACGGAAGAAGGUGUAGGUCCCCGUUUCAAGAAGGAGAUUGGGUAUUCUUGAGGGUGUCCCCUAUGAAGGGAGUCAUGCGCUUUGGAAAGAAGGAAAACUAAUUCCUAGGUAUGUCGGGCCUUAUCAAGUCAUUCAAAGGAUCGGUCAAGUUGCAUAUAGUUUGGAAUUGCCCCUGAAAUGUCCAUAGUGCACCAGGUGUUUCACGUAUCCAUGUUGAGGAAAGUUGUGGGUGAUCCAUCUAAGAUUGUUCCAGUUGAAGACAUCAAGGUUACGGAAGAGUUAUCAUAUGAAGAGAUUCCGGUUGCUAUUCUGGACAGGCAAGUCCGAAUGUUGCGAAACAAGGAGAUUGCUUCAGUUAAGGUGUUGUGGCGAAACAAACAAGUCGAGGAAGCCACGUGGGAAGUCAAAGUUGCGGAACAAGUAAAUUGCUUCAGUUAAGGUUUUGUGGAGAAACCAACAAGUCGAGGAAGCCACGUGGGAAGAGGAAGAUGAGAUGAAGAUAAAAUACCCCCAUCUAUUUGAAUAAGAUCAUAAAUGAUCGUGCGAAUCUUGCCCCUUAUGAAGGUUAGUGUUUGUUUGCAUUAGAUGUAAGAAUCAUCCUUUCUCUCUCCAAGUUCCUUAUUGUUGUAGUUUCUCCAAGUUGUGCCAACCACGUUUAUGUGUUGUAACUAAUUGAGCAAUGUGUAGUCCUUUUUGGUAAUGAAAUUUUCGUGUUCCCAUGGUAAGGUGAUGUAUGGAAGUAAUAACUAAUUUUGCAUGGAGACUGUGUAUCAAAGUGUUCUAAUUGUGCAAUCAUUAGUUUUGCAUGGAGGAAUUAUAUUGAAAUAAAUAACUGCAUCGUACCCUUGUGAUAGGUGAAUGUCUUUAAUAAGUACAGGUGAUUAGUGCUUAAUUUGAUUUCAAGUAGUGUGCCAAAAUGGUUGAAAAGUGUAUCGAGAGGUUGAAUAUCUGCAAGUGUGAGGAUUAUGCAUUUUACAACUGUUGUAAAGGUAGAAGGAUUGUGUAGUAAUGCUUGGGAAUGUGUUUUGGGGAUUCUUUGACAGGUGGUUAUGUCCAUAUUACAAAGGAAACUCUGGCAAAAUAUUUUUUCUAAAACAAACUUGAAAGUGAAUAUAAGUGUAGAAACUUGCAUAUCAUGUUUUCAAACUCAUUUGGUUCCCAAGUCCUCAUUUGAGGACGGAUGAUCUUAAGCGGGGGAGGAUGUAAGGCUCCGUGAAAAGGAUUGCUUAGAUGUUAGCAGCCCAUAGAUUCGAGUUUACCUAUGUGGAUCGGAUCUUUUUUUACUGUUUUGAGCUUAAAAAUGUGAAAUUUUUCCAGAAAAUAGUCAAAAUGCGGUCGAGAAUGCGGUCGCAGAUCAGCUAUGUGAACCGCAUUCCUACCGCAGAGUGUAUCAGAGAGCAACCAAUUUUUUAUCUUGAAAAUGCGAUCAAAUGUGCGAUCGCAUAAUCAAUAUGCGGACCGCAGAGUGAUCGCAUAUUUUCCCUAAGGAAAUUCGAAGGUCAGUUCUGCAGUGCAUUCUGCGACCGCAGAACUCAAAUGCGGACCGCAUAUUCACCGCAUUCCCAACCCGAGAGGUUUGAAGUUUGAUCCAUUUCUGCGGACCGCAUGUCUGUUCUACGAUUGCAAAGUUUCAUCGUAGAUUGAGCUCGCCCAGUUAUUUUUCUAAAAAUAUAAGCUCGACCCCUCUUUAAUAAAUACACCCUAUCCCUCAUUUUUAACCCAUUUUCUGAAAAAUAUAAGAGAGAGGAAGAGAUGGUCCUAUAGAGAGAAAGCAAAUUCUUCAUCAAUUGGUCUUUCAAAAUCAUUGGAGCUUGGAUAAUUCUUGGUGCAUUGUCUUCUCUAUUGACUUCUCAGGUAAAACCCCUAACCCAUUUCCCCCAAAUUUCGAAAUUAAGCUUGGAAAGGGAACCUCAUACACUUGCUUUGAAUUAUAAUCAUAAAAUUUCAUGCAUGGCUUCAAAACUCAAAAAUCUUGUAAAAAGGGAAUUGGGUAGUAACUAUGAGUUUAAAAUCUUUAUGCAUGGCUUCAAAACUCAAAAAUCUUGUAAAAAGGGAAUUAUGUAGUAACUAUGAGUUUAAAUUUCUAAAACCUAAGUGUUAUUCAUGAACUAGAUUGGCUUCUUGAUUGCUUGGCAAACCGGACUAAAGGUUUAAAAGGAAAUAAUCAACUCCAGGUAUGUAUGGCUAACUGUGAUCCUUGUGAAAUCCCCCUAUGCUAGUUGUGAAUUGUUGAUAACCGAUAUUCAUGUGAGAAUCAUUGUGAAGCUUUUCUGUGGUAUAAUUGUGUGGUAUCACUAUGUGGUGAAUGUUGUGGAACUUGUAAUUGGAAUAAUGGAAAUGGAACAAUGUGGAACGAUGGAAAUGAGAAUAAUGUGGAAUAGUGGAAAUGGAAAUAUUGUGAAACAACGUGUGUGAUUAGUUGUGAAUAACUGUUGUGAUCAUCUAAAUUGUGUACCAAUUUGAUGAACAUGAGGAAAUUGUUGUUGCUAGUUCAUUCAGAAAAUUAACCCAUUUUAUGAACAAUAUAAGAGAGAGGAAUAGCCCUCCUAGAGAGAGAAAGCAAAUUCUUCAUCAAUUGGUCUUUCAAAAUCAUUGGAGCUUGGAAAAUUCUUGGUGCAUUGUCUUCUCUAUUGAAUUCUGAGGUAAAAUCCCUAACUCAUUUCCCCCCAAAUUUUGAAAUAAAGCUUGGGAAGGGAACCCCAUACACUUGCUUUGAAUUUUCCUCAUAAAAUCUUCAUGCAUGGCUUCAAAACUCAAAAAUCUUGUAAAAAGGGAAUUGGGUAGUANNNNNNNNNNNNNNNNNNNNNNNNNNNNNNNNNNNNNNNNNNNNNNNNNNNNNNNNNNNNUAAAAAGGGAAUUGGGUAGUAACUAUGAGUUUAAAUUUCUAAAACCUAAGUGUUGUUCAUGAACUAGAUUGACUUCUUGAUUGCUUGGAAAAUCGCACUAGAGGUUUAAUAGGGAAUAAUCAACUCUAGGUAUGUAUGGCUAACUGUGAUCCUUGUGAAAUCGCCUUAUACUAGUUGUGAAAAUGUUGGUAGCUGAUAUUCAUGUGAGAAUCAUUUUGAAGCUUUUGUGUGGUAUAAUUGUGUGGUAUCACUAUAUGGUGAAUGUUGUGGAACUUGUAAUUUGAACAAUUGAAAUGGAACAAUGUGGAACAAUCGAAAUGGGAAUAAUGUGGAAUAGUGGAAAUGGAAAUAUUGUGGAACAACGUGUGUGAUUAGUUAAUGUGGAACAAUGGAAAUGGAAACAAUGGAAAUGGGAAAAAUGUGAAACAAUGGAAAUGGAAAUAUUGUGGAUAACGUUUGUGAUUAGUUGUGAAUAACUGUUAUGAUGAUCUAAAUUGUGUACCAAUUUGAUGAACAUGAGGAAAUUGUUGUUGCUGGUUGUGGAAUUGCAUUAUCCUUGUUGUGGAUCCAUGUUAACAAUGUGCCAUAGUUGAUUUCUUGUAUUUGUUGAUGUGUUGUUUGUUGUUGUGAAUUGAAAACUGUCAGGCGGGGUUGGGUUUGUUAGAAAAUACACUUAACGCUAGAGGGGGGGGGGGGGAAUAGCGUUAUAAUAAAAAAUAGCGUAAACUUGCGGAAUUUAAAAAUUGCAGGAAUGAAAUAAGUGCGAUAAGUAAAUAAUAAAGAACGAACGCACCGAAUAAGGGUGGACGAGGCAAUAAGGGUGGAAAAAUGUGAUCCAAUAUCACUAUUGAUAUGAAUAUGAAUCACGAAAUGAUAAAUGUGGAAAUGUGAAAGGAGACAGCAUAUGAGUUUGUAACUUGUGGGGCACCGAUUGCUCCUUUGUAUGACUACUUGAAUCAAUUGUUGUGAGAUGUUUAGUUGUUGCUCCAUGGUUGUAAUUGUACUAUUGUUGUUCAGUUCUAUGCUUGUAUAUGCAUUUUGGCUUGAGUUCACUUGUUUGUUCACAUGCCAGUACAAUUCAAAUGUACUGACGUCCCUUUUGCCGGGGGUGCAACAUUCGUGUUAUGAUUGUAGGUGGAUCCGUGGCAGGCACUCCAGUCCACCGUUCGUAGAUCCUCCUCCUCUCUAGCGACGGUAUUUGUGUUGGUGAGCCCUUUUCCUUCCGGGGCCUUGUGUGUCUCAUGCCACCGAUGUUGUUGUAUUUUGGAAGUCUUGUGUCUUUUUUUGUAAAGGUAUAGCCGGUGCCUUGUCGCCAGCAAGUGUUGUACAAUCUCUCUCUUAGAGGCUCCGUAGAUAGUGGUAUGCGGGUUAGAACUUAUGUAUGAAGGUGUAUGUUUUGGGCGCAGUAAACUUGUGUACCACGUUCCCUGUUAAUCAUAAUGCAUGAUUUGUAAAAGAUGUUCCCUGUUAAUCAUAAUGUGUGUUUAUAAAAGAGAAAUCAUAUGUUCUUUCAGUUUUAAAUAUGGUAUCAUUUGGCUAAUUAUCAUUGAAUAAUAUGGGGUAACGCGUGGGAAUAAUAAAGACACCCAGGUCCAUUCAAGUGGGGAUACUCGGUUGAGUGCUGGUCAUGCCCCGGAUUUGGGGCAUGACACCCUGUGGGCUUGAACUCCGAACCAAAUGUACCCAGAUUUUCAUGUAAAGACACCGGCUGCACGAUACCUUGCAAAGAUGCACCCAGACCCUUGCCCAGUACAAAACCAUUCUUCAAUAUUUCAUUUUCUACCAUUACGGUUGCAGAAGAUAGCUUUGGGCCUGGAAUAUAUUCCCCUUUCGGAACCUUCUCAACUGACACUGCUUCGGAUACCUGGUAAACCCAAGGCCCCUUAUCGUCUUCGACCUUAAUAAAGGGAUGAAUGUACCAUUGUAAGCACCUAAGUUCUUAUAACCAUGCACAACUAUUUCUUGUCUGUCCCACUCGAACUUUACCAUCUGGUGUAGAGAAGACGGGACUUCUUUGGCAACAUGUAUCCACGGCCUACCCAAUAGCAAAUUGUAAGAGACGGCUACAUCUAGUACCUGGAACUCCAUGGUAAAUUCAAUAUGUCCUAUUUUCAGUUCAAGCGCGAUAUCAUUAACAUAAUCUUUUCCCCCUCCGUCAAAACCUCGUACACAUAUAAUGUUCUUGUGGAUCCUUUUAGUAUCAAUUUUCAACUUGUGCAGAGUGGAUAAAGGGGAAAUGUUUGCACUCGAAUCAUUGUCAACCAGCACCAUCAUGACCACAGAAUCAUCGCAUUUUACUGUGAGGUAGAGAGGCCGAUUGUGUUCUGUACCCUCUAAGGGCAACUCAUCAUCCGAGAAGGUGAUCCUGUGCGCCUUGAAUAUCUUGUUAGCAAUCUUCUCCAAAUGGUUCUCUGUGAUCUAAGAGACACGAGCUUCAUUUAGAAUCUUCAUGAGGGCCUCGAGGUACUCGUCUAAAUGUAUCAACAAUGAUAGAAGUGAAAUCUGAGCGGGGAUGUUUCUCAAUUGUUCCACUAUAGAGUAAUCAUGCACCUUCAUUUUUCUCGAAAAAUGCUUCCGCCUCCUCUUCGGUGACUGGUUUCUUCACUAUUAUUGGAUUAUCUUUGAGUGGCUUAGGUUUCCUUAAUUCCUCUAGGCAAAGCAUCUCCCUGAAUGAGUAAAACCUCGGGCUUCAUUAACUUCCUCUUCCACUUCUUUCCUUUUAUAUGUUACUAUCACUCAUUUGUAAUUCCAUGGAACAGCUUUGGUGUUAUCUAGCGAUAGCUGGGUCACAGGUUUAAUGAUAAUAAGAGUCGUGCGAGCCCCGUCCACAAUUAUGACAUGCUUACUUUCCACCCCUAGAACAACCUUCGUUUUUCCUUGCUUUGCUUCAGCAUCAUAUAGAGACCCAUUCGCAACUAACACACUUGGUUGUAAGAUCGAUCUUGCUUAGCUUGUGAGUCAACCCUUCAACUUUCAAAGAUGUUGCAUUUGUAACAACUAGAGUUUUGACUAGGUUACUUUCACUGGCACGGAUCAUCACAAUGAACUUCGAAGGCUUCUCGAGCUUCCCAUCCUUAUACACUAUCUCAAUCAUAUGUGUUUUAGCAUGGGCUGGCAAUGGAUUUUGAUUGAUGUUGGGCGCUUUUGGGCGUUGAACCUCAAUCUAGUUUGUAUCGAUAAGCUCUUGGAUGGCGCUUUUCAAAUGUCAAAACUUUUCUGUGUCAUGUCCCGGAGCAUCAGAACAAUUUUGAAGGGGGAUUUGGUAAUUUUGACUUAAUCGGCCUUAGAACGCCCAAUUGUCUUAACCUUUGAAAUAGACUGGCGUAAGACUCUCCAAGCAGGGCGAAAGUUUAUUUUCACGACUACCUUUCCCUUUUGUACUCUGGCCUGGGUUAAAAGUUGGGACCAGUAGGGCUCCAGUAUGUUUGUGGAGGCAGAUAAGGAUUUUAUGGUCCUGGUGGACGCCAUUGCGGGCAAGGAGAGCUUGAGCAUUUGACUUUGCAUAGUGGACAUGGUAUUGGGGUAGCCUGACUAAAUACUAAGGGUCUGGUGGUGGGAAAUAGUGUUGGGGUGGAUUAUAUGGAGUUUGGGUGUAGGUUUGAGGUUGGAGUCGAGGCGGGGUGUGAGGCUGCGGUGAACCCCUUGGGCCAGGCCACGAUCCUGAGACAACCAUAGCAACAUCUUUUUUCUUCUUUUUCCUUAACACGCCCCCGGUGCCAUUCUGGAUCGCUUGUGUGGUUGCUUUGAUUGCAGAGUAACUCAUGAUCUUGCUCGAUUUGUGUGUGUCCUUUACCAUUCCUCCCAUCUUUACCACUUCAUUGAAAUACUUACCUAUGGACGAGACCAGAUGACCAAAGUAAGUAGGCUCCAAGGCCUGAAGAAAGCAAUCCACUGUUGAUACCCAAUUUUUCCCUAAGUAUUUUUUACACUCAAAAUACUUUCAAAAAACAUAUAUGUGCAUAUUAAGACUUUCAAAACUAAUUUAUUUUCUAUUUUAGCAAUGCAAAAUUUAAUAAUUAUUUCCAAAAUUAUCAUUUUGGUGAAUAAUUUAUUUAUUUCUCAUAUUUACAGCAAAAUAUAAUUAAGGUAAUUUUUGCAUUUUUUUUACAAAUUUAUUUGGUAUUUUUAAAUCUAAUUUUCAUAUAAUUGUAAUUAUAGCCUAUGUUUCGAUUAAUAGUAUUUUUAUAAUUGUAAAAUUAGUUUCAGUAUUUUUUAUUAAUAUUUAUGUAUUAUUAAUGGUUUUAGUACUUUUAAUUUUCUUUUAAAAUUAUUUUUAUUAUUUUUAUAAAAUUAAAAGGGAGAAAAUGGCUAUUUAAUACUUAGCCUAUUAUUAUUGCAAUUUAGCCCCAAUUGUAACCCAUCCCAUCAGAUUUUUAAUUAACCAAAUUAACCCAAUACCUAAUACAAAUCUACCCAACCCAAUCACCGAAUAACGCGGCCUAACUCUGAUUUAAUCUAAGUCAUUGAUCAAAUGAGAUCAACUGCCCAAAUUUCAUUUCCUUAAUUAAAUUCUAACUACCCCCUUGACCCCUCAUUUUAUCGAGAUCGGUCUCUCUCUCUUGGUCCCUUCCUCUCCUCCUUCUCUCUAGAACCUUUCGGUUAUUCUCCGAUGGCCCUCACCGUCUAUCCUGCCACCUCCAGCCUCACCUCUUUCUACCACCAGCUGUUGUGAAACAUUAUAUCACUGAUUCCCUCUAUCCUUGAGACCCCAGAAUCCUUCACCAUACGAUAUGGCCACUGAAAGCUUUUCCUCGUUUAUCUUGGCCUUUCUCCGAUGGGUUUUGGUCCGAUGGUGCUAUGAACACCAUUAUUGCUGAGUUUCACGGCCAGGUUUUGCUUACUUGUCACAUGUUUCUUAUGAAACCCUAAUCUUACCCAGACCUCUUAAAUCUCUGUAUUUUUAAUGAUUUUAACCCACGCCUUUAUGUUUUACACUACUCCCUACUCGAUCUUUACGACUGCCCAAUUUUUAAACAUUUUGUUCUUUUUUUAAAAAAACUAGGGUUUUUGAACCCCUUUUCGAAAUCACUAUAUCUUCUUACUAUAUGUUUGUGUUUGUAUUAUUUGCUUGUUUUUGUGAUCAUAUGGGUUAUUCUCUAAGUUCUAGCUUUAAUUUUGUUGUUGGGUUUCAAACCUUCUACCUACUGUAUGAUAUCUUGCUUAGGGUUCUCUGAUUUUUAUGCCUAUUGUGUUUAAUAGGUCUAGUUAUUCAUUGUUUACCAAAUAUUCUGCUUAUUCUGUGUACUUUUGGAAUCCCUAAUUUUGUAUAUGUUUUCCUUAGAAGUUUUCCACUGAUUUGGAAUCACUUCUUUAUUUGUGAGAUGAUUUCAUUACUUAGUACUCAUUUCCUGUGAUUCUCAAUCUCAUCCGUGAUUCUUUGAACUAAUUUUUCAAAAAUCAAUUUGUAAUCUGCCUGUUUAUGUGCACAAUAUGUUGUUAUUAUACUUUCCUUAUUUGAAAAUAUUCUGUACUUAGUCCCUAUUACAUGCAUCAUGCAUUUACUAUUCCGAUUAUGGAAAUAUCAGUCUUGCAAAUAAUUAUUUUCCUUAUUUGAUACAACUUGUAUCUGUUUGAACUAUGACUCCCUAAUUGAAGGGAGUCCGGGUCUUUAUUUGAUUCUGCUUGGUAUUAUUUCUAUAGUUAUAAUUAGUCAAUACUUGUUACCUUAUUUUUCACUUAUAUGUAAAGCUGUAAAUACCCUAAUGAUUUCAUUAACAAGACACGAACAAUCACACUAUUAUGAAGUCUCUCUUACACACACAAGCAUACUCAUUGUUCUCUCUUACUUUCCUACACAUUCUCUCUCGCUUCUCCUAUUGACUACUGGUUACCUAGUCGGCUGAAAGCCAAGACUGAAUAACUUAUUACUCUACUAUUUUAUUGCUUUAUACAUUGCUUCUCACUUGGUCUGCAAAUUACUGCUCUACUUCUCUCCACACUACUCCUCUAUAUUAUCUCACUCUUGACUGGUAUGUCUUCUAUUUGAUUUAAGCUUUCAAAACAACAUGUUUUAUGCAUAUUGCACUUUCUCUUAUUUCUUUUAUGCUUCUACUUAUGGUUCUGUUGUUUUCAUUGCAAUUAGCAUGCCUCUUUGCUAGUUUAUUGAUAUGAUCACUUUUCCCUUAAUUCAGGAUGUCUACUACUUCCCGUACUUGUUUAAUAUAGUUCUUCCUUACCCCUAUUAUCAGCAUAUAUUCACAAUUAUUCCUAGAUACCAAGUAAUCCUGAACCUCUUCUAUGAACACUUUGAUAUUAAAUGUGUUGUGACUGUUUAAGUUGUGAAAUGUUUUUUCUCUGAUGUCUACAUAUGUGCAAUUAUGCUCUUACAUGUGAACUACUUGUUCCAAUUUCCCCUUUCCCCUGUUUGUACUGAACUAUGUGUGAUAUUCUAGUCCUGAGAUUGUCCUACUCACCUUCUUACAAAACUGUCACACUCUUCUAUUGUUUUUCUUUCAAAAAACUUGAUUCUAUAUGGAUCAUUUUUAAACUGUUUUUCUCAACUCAAUUCCUUUAAAACUUUAUCACGCAAUCUCACUAUUCUUAGAGAUUAGGUUCUACCCCUUCGUAUAAACAUUGCUUUGGGUACCUCUGAGUACUCACUGAACUUUGAUGCACAAGGUUGGUAAUUCCACACUGCACUUGUUCAACAUUUUUGGUAAGUGUUUGGGUGCAGGUAUAUGUGAGGGACCCAAUGGGGACUUAGGGAACUUUGCCGUACCCAAACCAUGGCAAAGGCAUUGAAACUCAAAAGGAGUGAGGUUGGAAGAUUGGGCCUGGUUGAAGGAUCCAUAUAGAAUAACUUCUUAUUUUGUUCUUUAUUACUGUAAUUCGGCUAUUCUUGAUUUGUAACAAUUUGUAAAUGAAUGUUUGGGGUUGAUUAGUGAAUAUGGGAGGGGUUAUACAUGCUUAGUUUAAGUAAUGGGUAGAAAAUAUGCUUAUAGGGAUUUAAUUAUAUAUUUGCGCAAUAGAUAUCAUUUAUAGGACAUGCAUCUCAUAUAUUAGUAAUCGUGUUUUAGGUUCUUUACUUUUUUCAUGUUAUUAUACUCAUUUUGUAAUCACGAUUAGUUAAAUAACUGUUAUAAAAUUACUGUUGCAUUCUCACUAGCAUUUAGAGACCAUGUUUUAGGAGCUUUUAUGUGUAUUAGACAUCAUGUUACUUAGGAUUUUUAUUUUGUUUGAGUUGCAUUUGUUGAACGACUCACCAGUAUGUUUAAUCUAAUAGUACAAGCUUGGUUAACUGAAUCUUUUUAAAACUGGAAUUAAAUAUGCAUGUUCACCCCCUUUAAGGUAAUUAGGCAAUACAUACGCCGCCUAGGAAAACAUUAGGCCUAAUAAGAAUCGAUUAAUCAUAUUUUUAUCAGUUUAAGAUUAACUAGCCUUUUUUUUGGAACUUUGCCGCUCUCAUUCUUGUUGUGAUUCUCUGAAGUUCACUCUUUUUACCGAAAAUCUAUCUCUAUCUGGAAACAAGUUUUGAACCAUGUAUCUACUCUCACUGAUUUUUUGAUUCUUGCUCUAUUAAGUCUUCAAACUACUGGGUUACCUUUUCUGCCCAGAAUCGUGUUGUUUUGAUACUUGUCUAUUUAAACUACUGUAUUUUCAAGUCUCUGCCCUUUUCAAACCAUGUUUUAAUGGUUCCCUUAUCUUUUACUUACUCAAAUGCUGUCACUUAUUCCUUUUCUUUAAAAACUCCCAUCUUUGAGACCAUAAAUGUGUUAGAGACAUGCUAAUUACAUGUUUACUUGUGGAGGGAUCUGUGAGCCUUUAUUUGCCUUUGUAUGUUCCCUUUUAUAUGUAUUCCCACUUGUUAUGUAUGUUGCCUAGCAUUAUGUCCUUUAAAACUAAGGGUCCAGCCUAGUCCUUACCCUGUAGGAAUAGUGUUCCUAAAUACCCUCUAGGACUUAUAGUAUGGACACGUAAUAGCACGAAAUAAGCUUUCGUGACCCCAUCACGCGUUUAAAUAACCUUUACGGGAUGGGAAGGGUAAAAUAUGGAUAUGAUGACUGAUGCACUAAUAUCUCGUGUAUCCCCUGUUCUGAGGAGUGAUUACUGAUUAUUGCAUUGAUGUGAUCCAUAUUAUUCAGAAACCUAGGACCCCUCCCCUUUGUUUAUUUUUAGAACUUGUCUAGAAUCAUUUCUUCAAAAUUUCUGCCUUCUUUAUUUCCAAACUCUCAACCUAUUUGCAAAAUGUAUGUAAAAAAACCCCUUGUUUGAACCUUGAUUUUUUACUUGUAAAGUCACAAUUGUAACAUGGUCGGGGCCACACUAGUGGAUCUUGAGGGGUGCCUAACACCUUCCCCUCGAGAUAAUUUCUAGCCCUUAUNNNNNNNNNNNNNNNNNNNNNNNNNNNNNNNNNNNNNNNNNNNNNNNNNNNNNNNNNNNNNNNNNNNNNNNNNNNNNNNNNNNNNNNNNNNNNNNNNNNNNNNNNNNNNNNNNNNNNNNNNNNNNNNNNNNNNNNNNNNNNNNNNNNNNNNNNNNNNNNNNNNNNNNNNNNNNNNNNNNNNNNNNNNNNNNNNNNNNNNNNNNNNNNNNNNNNNNNNNNNNNNNNNNNNNNNNNNNNNNNNNNNNNNNNNNNNNNNNNNNNNNNNNNNNNNNNNNNNNNNNNNNNNNNNNNNNNNNNNNNNNNNNNNNNNNNNNNNNNNNNNNNNNNNNNNNNNNNGGGGUGCCUAACACCUUCCCAUCGAGAUAAUUUCUAGCCCUUAUCCGAAUUCUGGUUUCUUCAACUCAAACCAUUUUCAAAGUGUCCUAAUGCACUAUAAUCAUUAGGUGGCGAUUUUCCAAUUCCAAAACCCAAUUCUCAAAAAGGAACGAGUUGUCCUCAUAAAUGUCACAAGCCCGAUUUCGCUUUAGAAAAAGGGGGUGCAACAUCCACCAUUUCAUCUUCCUUCAUUGUAGGGUCGACUCAUGCCGCCUGCUCUCUCCACUGGAAACCAUACUCCCUGAAGCUUUCACCAGGCUAUUUCUCUAUCUUAGUUAAGGAUAGGUAAUCUGGGACAAUUUCUACAUUGGAUUGGAAAUGCCAAGAGAAAGCUUGAGCCAAGUCAUUCCAAGUGUACCACCUGUUGUUGUCCUGGCGGGUGUAAUAUUCCAAUGUUGCACUACUCAAACUUUGACUAAAAUAUGUCAUCAACAAUUCAUCUUUCGCCCCAGCGCAAAUUCCUCUUAAGUGGGCCACGGGGUCUCCAUGCCUAUCGUACAAGUAAUUUUGAAUCCGGCAGGUAGCUGGACAUCAGGAAACAAACACAGAUCCUUAUAGGACAUACUCAAUUGGCCACCUAACCCUUGCAUAUUUCUCAGUGACUGCUCCAAGCUAAUUACCUUCCUAAAUAUCUCAUCGUGUUCUGUGUUUUUGAUCGGCUUCUCAGUGUCAAUAGGGAGUUCAAAGUGAUGGGUGUAGGAGUAGUGAUCCGGGACUUUGAAGGUGGGCUCUGGGGCAUAGUACUAGUUAUCUUGGGCUUGGAAUGACAGCUCACUAGAAUAUCGAUGUAGGGUAGCUUGCGGAGCUGCUACAAAGAUAGGGGUAACUAACAGAGUAAUGUAUGCGGUUGUUUUGGCUAGUAGAGCUUGGAUGGUUUGGGAAGUGGUGUCAUGAUAGUAAUGGUAAGGGGUGAAGCUUGGGGCGUGUUGUGGGGAUAUAUCAAUGAUGGGGGGCUCUUUAGAAUGAGCUAGUGGUGGGAUGAAAGCAGGGUUGGCAGGGUAUGAUGGUGGAGGAUGCCCCUUCAUCCAUGCCUCAUAUAUUUCGGCCAUUUGAUGUUUCAGCUUAUGUACCUCUUCUUUCAAACCGGACUCAUAUUCCUCCAUUUCUCUCGGCGGGUCAAUAACACUCGAGUCCAAUUCUUUGCUAGUCAUGAUCGCCUCUUAUUUAGACAUGGUAUUAUAUGAAUGGCUUUCCGGAAUGCUGAAAAAACUAACCGCCUUCCUGAACUCAAGGACAACAACAAACUUGUUAGUGUUUAAGGGUUUAACAGAUAGGCAAUCACAUGUUUCGGAUGAAAUGCACCUAAACAAUUAAAUGCUUCUAUCGUGUAUUUGAACAGUUGCAUGCGUCAUUCCGGCUUUAACUAACACUCUUCAUUGUGCAUUCUCUCUUCCCUCUUUUUCUUUUCUUUUUCACUACUGCCCUUUUCAGUCACUGUUGAAUUUCCCACUCGGUUCUUGUCACUCCCCUUUUAUUUUUGCGCUCGUUUUUGUUCUCUUGUUCUUCCAUCCUCUCUCUCUCUCUCCACUUGAUUUUUUUUUCUUUUUUCUUUUUAUGGUUAUGAUCAAAUAUUACGGGGAUUAUCUAUGUAUCAUGACACCGCAUGAAUCGGAUCAUUACGUAGUUCAGGAGAUGAAUGUGAAAUAAAAUAAGAAAGCAAUAUUUUGGGUUUUUUCAACUUUUCAUUAAAUAAAAACAUUAUGAAUUUCCUUUAUUACAACGACUCUAUCAUACACGCCCAAACACUGAAAAACAAUACAAGACUCAAAAUGGACUAACAAACUCUAAAAGAAACUGAAAUACAGACUUGAAAAUAAAAUCAUGAAUACAUAAGUGCCUCCAACAUUGCUCCAGGGGUCCCCGGGACAUCAGUCGGUCUUGCCGCGAGCAUACGUGCCAUAUCUUUUUGGAGGCGAUAUAGGUCGUCCAUUAUCUUACGGACAAAAAUCAUCACUGAAACAAAGAAUAAGGACCUAUUAAUGUCCUCGUACGCAUUGCACUUCAUCACAAUAUAGUCAGCAAUUCUUCUAAUCCUCUCCCUAACGACGCCUUUCUCUUGGAGGAGACGUCCAAUUUGUUGAGAUAUGGCCUCCAAAACUUGCUUGUCCGUAUGAUUUUGAUUUUGUAAGGUCCUCUUUUGGUUGUGACAUCAAUGCAUAGCAUUGCUCCCUUUCUGCUUUGAAGUUCUUUGCUUGCUUGGUCAUUUCAUUCUCAAGGGUAUUGAUCUGUUUCUUCAGACCCGUGAUUCGUUUGUCAUACCUUUCCUUCAACUGGUGAACUAAACUUGCCCGUUCCUCUACAUUCUUAGCCAACUUUGCCUUGGUUAUUUCCAAUUCACCUUCGGCUCUCUACGAAUCAACCCCAUAAUACCACACUUUCCGUCUAAGGCUGUUGAUGAGCUUCUCAUCUUUUUCACUUCUGGCAGGGUUCUCAGCUGUUAUUUUCAUCUUCUGGAUCUGGGCUCGGGUGGCUUCAUUUUCUUGGGCCAACCUCUUCUUGUCACCUUCAUUCACAGUGGCUUGCAACCUACUAUCAAAUUUAAGAUCUCUGACUUGCGCUUCCAACUUGCUUAUGGUGGCCCUGUAAUCAUUUUCUUUUGUUAUCCAAUCCCAUUAUUCUUGUGAUGCUUCAACAAAUUCUUAGAGGUGUUCUUUUAGCUGGUCUUCCAAACUCAACAUUCCUUUUAUACCAGGCAAGGAACCGGGCGAGACUUCACCCUUGGAUAAAUCACUUACUCGGGUGUUCGCCAUCAAGUAUUGGCACUCACUCCAGAUCUAGCGAACCACUCUUUCAUGAAAUUGGCCAUCAGAGCGGAUCUCGAUUGCAUGAAUGCUAAGGUAUUCGUCCUUUGGGAUUAUUUGGCAUCUUCCUAGCUAUAUUAAAACCCAGUAUGGGGAAUAUGGUUGGAUACUUCUGAGACCCAUUAGGAGGAAGCGAGGAACGGUGAUAGGCAUGUAUAUAAUCUCAUUAACAAGAAGCGAACCCAACGUCCAUUCUAUCUGAUCUGCAAGUUAUGGAACGAAGGCGAGAUAUCCAAUCUAUGACCCUUUAUGGCAUCUAGAACCUAUUGACCCUGUAUUGAACUCCUCUAUGCAGCUUUUCCCUAUAGAUCCAUAGUUCAUGUGCUGAGGACUAUGACACAGAUGCUCAGUCAUUCAUAUUUGUUGUAACCAGUUGCACCCUUCAAAAAAAUCUAGUCCGGAUUUGCAAGCUGUGACAAAUCGGAAUAUUUCAGAUACUAUCAUAGGUGUGAGGGUGCUCUUGGCAUUGGUAAUCAAAAUAUUGACAACUCCAGCUACCCUUAGAUCAAUAUUCUCAUCCUUCCUGGGAAAUACUAGAACAUCCAAGAAUGCCACCAUGAAAGCAAAAUAUCUAUGCUCUUCCUACUUUGGUCAGUUCCUUUUACUAUAGAUUAUGCUUUCCGGAUUUUCAAAUCCCCUAGUAUAUCUAUACCGCUGUAUAUGAAGUGUAGAGUGGAAAAGCCAUUUGCCAAAUCUGCAUACUAGACAUGCCUGCUGAUUUUUAAGUAAUUCUUGAAACUUGUGAGGAGUGACGACCCUUUGAGCGGCCAGGUAUUUAUGUCUUAGACCCUCCGUACUCCCAACAUAACUCGCUAUCCUCCAAAGUAGGUGUAAUUUUGAACUCUGAGAAAUGUAGAAAGUUGUGAGCUGGAUUCCAAAAUGUCAUCAGUGCUUUUAUUAUAUCACCCCUAGGCUUAAUCUUUAAGAGCCCGGUGAGUUCCCCAAGGUAAUAGUUGAACAUGUCUCGUUCUUUCUCACCCAAAUCUUCCCACCACAUGUGAAGUGACAACGGAUCUUAGUCAUGACCUUCAUUGGUAAAUUUUAACUCGUGCUCAUUCCGCACAUUUAGAUUAGGGUGAUUGAUUUAAAAACAAAUUGUUAUUUAAAAUUGAUAAAAAGGGUUUAUCUUGUAAAACUCAAAUAAAUCAAUGCUACUUUUGCGAAUUCAUCCCUUCAGCACUUCGAAAUGGAAGAUUUUAGGGUUGUGUUCGCUAAAUGGCCAAAAUUGACAAAGAAAUCGUCGGUGGCUAUUCUUGAAAAGACAGCCUUCCUGUGCCUCGAUUGGACAUUUGGCAAUUUAGACAAAAAUGGCAUCACCCACUUUAUUUAUGACAAAAAAAUGAUGACACUUAAUAUUUUGGGUUUUUUUUCAAAAACAAGGCUGGACCCGAUGAUGAUUACCUACAUAUCCCACAUCUGGUGAGAAUCCAACAUGUAGUUUGGUUAUUUUUUACGCAACAGAAAAAUAUAAACACUUUGAAAUAACCUUUCUCCUUUUUUUUCGGCAGAGUUUCAGGAUAUUUUGGACGCCAGAUUUUGGGAAACAGAUGAAAUUCUCUGUCAUACCCUGAACAUGGUUUUUCUUUUUAUUUUUCUUACCUAAUCUAGAAGCCGGUCAACAUGUAAGCCGAAACAAACAAAUGUACAUGUAGCACGUAAAAUGCAUCAGGUUGGUCUUUUUAUUUUCGAGUACACCUGUCCUAGACGGACCCUACCCCUGUGUUGAGUCCCAAAGUACGAUGCAAAAAAAUCGUUCCUACUAGAGAUCCGACAUGAGGUUAUGUUAUUCUAGGUUUUAAUCUUAGGUGUAUUGUUCUAGACUUGGCUUACCCGAACAGACAACUUGAGCCGAGGGGGGCUAUGUACGGGGAAUCAAAAGGCCAUCCGGCUUUGUAACUUAUCCGAACCUCAUUCUAAAUUAGGGUAUGACACUAACAGAAAAGAAUUCACGCAUGCGUGCACUUCCAAGAAGAUUAGAAGAGUAUGUUUUCGCAGCAGUUUAUAUACAGUUCAAAUAAUAUCAAAGCGAUAAAAAUGGUAUUUAGCACAUUAGGCCCAAACAUGCAAUAAAAAUCAGAUAAUAAAUAAAAGACAAAUAUAACAAUUAUUAUAAGCUCUAACUCUUAAACCCUAAACCAGAGAUUUUGGGUUCGAUCCCAGCAGAGUCACUAGAGUUGUUACACCUCCUUUUUCUACCUGAAAGGAGGUAUAAGGGAGUCUUUCCAAUUAAAGUAACAAUAAUCGAAAUGUGAUUUAUUACUUCAAAUUCAGAUAUACCACCUUGGAUAAUUUGUGGUGUCCCAAGUCACUGGUUUAAAAUUCCAAAUAGAGGAAGUUUGACUCUGUUUUGCAAUCUUCAAAACACAAUAAUUUGAGUAAGAAAUUCUGUUAACCCGGAAGAAGGUGUUAAGCAUUCCCGAGUUCCGUAAUUUUAGCACAGUCGCUCAACCAUUAUUAUUGGCCUAAUUAUCUGAUAUAUUACAUGUUUUAUACCAAUUGUUCAUUUUUAUCCGUUACCCUCUUUUUCUCUUUUUAUUUAUUAUUUAUCGUGAAUGGGGGAGAAUUUUCCAAUUUUUUUUUCGAGUUCCUUAAAAAUGGGCUCAAAAAAGGAAGGGCGUUUUCGNNNNNNNNNNNNNNNNNNNNNNNNNNNNNNNNNNNNNNNNNNNNNNNNNNNNNNNNNNNNNNNNNNNNNNNNNNNNNNNNNNNNNNNNNNNNNNNNNNNNNNNNNNNNNNNNNNNNNNNNNNNNNNNNNNNNNNNNNNNNNNNNNNNNNNNNNNNNNNNNNNNNNNNNNNNNNNNNNNNNNNNNNNNNNNNNNNNNNNNNNNNNNNNNNNNNNNNNNNNNNNNNNNNNNNNNNNNNNNNNNNNNNNNNNNNNNNNNNNNNNNNNNNNNNNNNNNNNNNNNNNNNNNNNNNNNNNNNNNNNNNNNNNNNNNNNNNNNNNNNNNNNNNNNNNNNNNNNNNNNNNNNNNNNNNNNNNNNNNNNNNNNNNNNNNNNNNNNNNNNNNNNNNNNNNNNNNNNNNNNNNNNNNNNNNNNNNUGUCGGUGAGGUCGAUCGAAAAAGUGAAAGCUUGAUGAAACCCCGUCUUUUUUAGCAUCAACCACUUUUUCCCAUCCCAAGUAAUGUUAUGAACUUUCACUCCCUAUCUAUACUAGAACCUCGAGCCUCUUUCUUCUUUCUGUGCAGCAGGCGUUGGAUAAGUUUGUUUUGUAGCACAGGGGGAUGGUAGAAAACGAACGGCGGCGUAAAGUUGAUGAGCAGGGAAGAUGUCUUUUUUUAAUUACUUAUGGAACUAUUUCUGGAACAGGUCACGAUUGUCGUACACUUAUUUGUAUGGUACAUAUUGCGAAUUAUGUCAGAGGGAUCGUACCCAAGAUUUAUAAUACGUUUAAUUUAUUAACAUUAUUAGUUGUUACGGCCGGGUCACAUAAAUAUACCUCCGAAUGUGGAAAUUAUGUAUCAUAACUACGGCACACGGAAUCAUACCCGUAACUAUGAUAGUUUUAUUAUAACAUGCCUAAAGAAAAACUACGAAGAUUAAUGUUUAAAGUAAGUUUUGAAUUUAAUGUAGAGAGCUACUACUUGUGAGUCUGAAUUAGAAUAAUAUGCAAAAAUUAUUUUAAAGAACUCGGGCGAAUGACAGGCAUGUUAUCUAAGGAAAAUCUUCGAGGGAGAUACAGCUUACGGACUGGGCUCGAAAUUGAGCCCAAGAUUAAAGAUGAAUAUAUCAAGCCUGCCUAAUGUUUGUUGGGCAGCUUUGAUUGGGCCAAUACCAAGCCCAACUUUUAAUGAAAAAACCUUCAAUAUUAGAACUCUUUUAUUAUCUGAAUAAGAAAAAAAUUAGUGAGUAAAGAAAUGCUGAAGAUAAUUGGGCUCGCCAUUGAACCCAAAACGUUAAAGAAAUCAAGAGCAGAACCUGUUGAGCCUGGUUCCAACCAGGCUGUCUCAUAUGGUCCAGAACCAGGCCUAAUUGCUCCCAGCAGAAGAGCCUUCGAUAUUAAGGCCUAUUUGAGACUUAACUUCCUCUAAAUCACAUGUAAUGCAAAAUAUUGUAAAAAUUCUAAAUCAUGGGCUGAUCAACCAUAUUAUGAGUCUAAUUCAUCACCAUACCAUUAGUGACAGCACUAUACAAUUACUUAACCCAGACUACUCAUUAGAUACAUUAAAACAUGGCGUGUAAUUACUUCACUUGCAACUGGAGACUUGAAUACCAUCUAACAAUUUAACAUUGAAUAUCGUUUGAAAUUGUAUAUGCUUGGACCCCAAUUUGUUUUAGAUACACCAUUGCAACAUUCUAAUCAACAGAUCCUUUAGUGAACACUUUAAAGGAAAUGAACUAAUGACCUUAUACAUUCAUCCUGGACUUUCAAAUGAUUCCAACACAUGGAGGCUAAAUAUUGACACCUUUCGGUACUACUUGUCCCAACAUUAUAUACAUCAGAAUCUAUCUAUAUAGGAAUUUUGUAUCUCGUGGCAGUAAUGAUCCAUUGAUUAUCAAACUAUAACUAAACAAAAAUGAGUGAAGCUAAAUCUAUGAAAUAAUAGACAAACCUAAUCUAUGUUAUCAAACAAACAUUAUAAUGACUACAUGUUUCAGCAGUAGCCUUCAGAAAGAUGUCAUAUCUUCCAUGUACAACCCAUAAUUUAAUUUUAGCUUUGAAUCCCAUGGGUAUAACCAUGGUAGAGAUCAAAUCCACCAAGAGCAUGGCUUCACACAUAUUAGCAGUAAUAGGACCAUACAAACUCAGCCAACUAACACAAAGAGGUCGGACCAGGAUGGCAAAACAGUAUGCAUAGUCUAAAUCUAACAGGUAACAAGUACUAUGUUUAACGCGCUAGCAAACAGGUUUAUCAGGGAAUAGAAAAACAUUGAAUUAACAAAGAAUCACAUUAUUAAAAGAAAACUUAAGUGUUGUUCCAUUUAUGGGUACGAACCUCAUUAUAUAAACAAAAUAGCAUUAAACCCGCGUCUAAAUCAGAUUUGCAAACAUUUAAAUAAUAGGUGAGACAUGUACCUAGUUGUUUAAGAAUUUUCCAAAUGCUAAGCAGAAUAGUAGUUCAUUAGCAAAGAGAUAGCAGCACCAAAGAACAAUCAGCUUCAAAAUAAGACCACACUUCAAUUUUGGAGCCCAGAACCUCAAUGGAGACUAGUUAAGACUUAGUGAAGGAAAAAUAAAAAAAAAACAAACUGAUGAAGGAAACUGGAUUUUCAGGAUUUUUUCAGAUAUUUGUUUUCGUGUCUAAUGAUGGAAGAAAUAUUCUCUUUAAAGGUAAAAAAUUCCAUAUGCUGAAAAGGAUAAGGUAUUUAUUUCCUUAAGCCACAAAAAGCAUCUUUCAACAUAAUUUGGAUACCUGGCAGCCCCUAAUUGGCUUCAGUAUUUUGUACUGGCCAAAUAGGGCCAACUGCCUAUAUUCUAGAACCUUCUCACAUGGCAUUAUCUGAAUUUCCUAUUUCAUACCCUUCCAAUGACCGCUCCCCCCCCCCUUUAAGUUUUCUUUUUGUUCAAUUUACCCCUAUAAGUUCCAAUCUAUUUACAGACUAGGACCAACAAAUCAAGGCAAGAAUCAGUAUGAAUCAAAAAUCAAAGAAACAAAACAUUAUGCAAUUAAAACUUUAGACUAACCCUAGCCCCAAAUAAAUUUAGCAUGAACCAACUUUGAAAUGAGGCAGAAACAAAAAUCAUCAAGAACCCACUACCAAAACGACUCUUAACAAAGGAAAGUUGUUAAAAGUCAUUAAAUAGACUGUUCAGAUGAUGACUUAAUAAAUUUGAAUAAGACAAACAAAACACACACUGUAAUUAACCUAACACAAAACCAUGAAAGCUAAGCAGGAAAAGGAUUAUGAAGGGAAAAAAAAAAAGAGAAAUUACCCCAAGCAAACAUAUCUUGAUUUCAACUAGAUCAAUCACAAACUGGAAUAAAUUUCAACGAUUUCUCUCAUCAAGAACAAUCGAUUGAUAUAGGUCUUGGGUUCAAAUGGACCGAAACUGAACGCGAAAUUAGAGACUGACCAAAAAACUAGGUUUUUGACUUUUAGAUCUAAAAUUUGGGAAUUUUUGGGUUCAUUCAAAGGACAUGGUUACGAGAUAUAGAAAGAGGGAAAGAUGGUGGUUGCAUGGUUUUAAUUUCAGUAGGUUUGGAGACGGUUGGAUGGUGGCCGCCAUCGGGGUUUGCAGAGAAUAUUAGGGCGGAUAGGGUUAGGUUAAAGGUGAGAGGGAGAUGAUAAUGCGGGUCUCUAGGGUUUGGGGGAGGGAUUUGGACACUUAUAUUGGAAUUGGGGAGUGAGUUCCCAACCGUUGGAUCAUUGAAUAUCAACGAUUGGAAUUUAAACGGGUUAACGAUGUUGUUUGGUCUAUUGGGGGUGUAUGGACCGGGUAAAGGAUUGAGCUGGGU
Molecule: long non-coding RNA, 28528 nt
Filed under: Nicotiana benthamiana
Lineage: Eukaryota; Viridiplantae; Streptophyta; Magnoliopsida; Solanales; Solanaceae
Description: long non-coding RNA (NBEN_LNC003686)
Source: RNAcentral